UACGUAGGGCGCAAGCGUUGUCCGGAAUUAUUGGGCGUAAAGAGCUCGUAGGCGGUUUGUCGCGUCUGCUGUGAAAGCCCGGGGCUCAACCCCGGGUCUGCAGUGGGUACGGGCAGACUAGAGUGCAGUAGGGGAGAUGGAAUUCCUGGUGUAGCGGUGAAAUGCGCAGAUAUCAGGAGGAACACCGAUGGCAAGGCAGGAUCUCUGGGCUGUUACUGCGCUGAGGAGCGAAAGCAUGGGGAGCGAACAGGAUU
Molecule: ribosomal RNA, 254 nt
Filed under: uncultured bacterium
Lineage: Bacteria
Description: partial 16S ribosomal RNA
Rfam family: Bacterial small subunit ribosomal RNA
Source: RNAcentral